This 69-nucleotide transfer RNA is filed under the name Yongeichthys criniger (horny goby). Its description in RNAcentral is "tRNA-Ala". It matches the Rfam family "tRNA". Rfam says of the family: Transfer RNA (tRNA) molecules are approximately 80 nucleotides in length. Their secondary structure includes four short double-helical elements and three loops (D, anti-codon, and T loops). Lineage: Eukaryota; Metazoa; Chordata; Actinopteri; Gobiiformes; Gobiidae. The record is from RNAcentral.
AAGGCUUUAGCUUAAUUAAAGUGUCUGUUUUGCAUACAGGAGAUGUGGGUUAGUAUCCUGCAAGUCUUA